UAUUUUGAGGUAAGGGAUGUUAUUUCUUUCGCAAAUGAUAUUAUUUUCUUCAAUAUCAUUAUGCCAAAAUCUUUGUUGAACUUUUUAUCAAAUUUCAUGAGUUACUAUUCACGAGUUACUAUUUAUGAGUUCCUAUUCACGAGUUACUAUUCAUGAGUUACUAUUCACGAAGCGUGAAGAUAUUUUUUGUGAAAUUUCUAUCUUUUUGUGUCGGGGUUACUAUUCACGUAUACGGCACUAUUCACAAAUACGGCACUAUUCACCGAAAAAUGAAAUUUUUUUUUUUGUCCAAGAUGUCUAUUUCGGCUACUAUCUUUGAUUGGAUCCAUGUUUUGAUCGUUAUUUUUGAGUUCUGCUUCAAAAUCGUUUAUUAUGAAGUAUUAUUGAUCUUGGAUAAACUGUUGUACGAAUCCCUAAUAUUUGUCCUUCUAUAUCACUGGAUUCGUUCUUAAAAAUGUUUUUCAUCAUCCUCAGUCCUUAAUGGUGAUACUUGAUGAAUAUCUUUGGCCUGUAGUGCAAAGAUGAAUGAUUAAACUGAUGAAUCUCUUUGGCCCGUAGUGCAAAGAUGAACAGGUGUUGAGAUGAACAUGACCAACUGGUGAUAUAAAUG
RNAcentral lists this long non-coding RNA (610 nucleotides) under Panax ginseng (ginseng). Its description in RNAcentral is "long non-coding RNA (PGIN_LNC016719)". Lineage: Eukaryota; Viridiplantae; Streptophyta; Magnoliopsida; Apiales; Araliaceae. The record is from RNAcentral.